This 281-nucleotide ribosomal RNA is filed under the name uncultured bacterium. Its description in RNAcentral is "partial 16S ribosomal RNA". It matches the Rfam family "Bacterial small subunit ribosomal RNA", at positions 28 to 311 of the family's 1533-position model. The record is from RNAcentral.
GACGAACGCUGGCGGCGUGCUUAACACAUGCAAGUCGAACGGUAAGGCCCCUUCGGGGUACGACGAGUGGCGAACGGGUGAGUAACACGUGAGCAACCUGCCCUUGACUUCGGAAUACCAGCUGGAAACAGCUGCUAAUACCGGAUAUGACCUUGGCCCUCAUGGGUUGAGGUGGAAAGCUCCGGCGGUCAGGGAUGGGCUCGCGGCCUAUCAGCUUGUUGGUGAGGUAAUGGCUCACCAAGGCUUCGACGGGUAGCCGGCCUGAGAGGGCGACCGGCCAC